This 75-nucleotide transfer RNA is filed under the name Chloroflexota bacterium. RNAcentral describes it as "Chloroflexi bacterium tRNA-Lys". It matches the Rfam family "tRNA". Rfam says of the family: Transfer RNA (tRNA) molecules are approximately 80 nucleotides in length. Their secondary structure includes four short double-helical elements and three loops (D, anti-codon, and T loops). The record is from RNAcentral. Lineage: Bacteria; Bacillati; Chloroflexota.
GGCCCGCUAGCUCAAUGGCAGAGCAACUGACUCUUAAUCAGUGGGUUCGGGGUUCGAGUCCCUGGCGGGUCACCA